CCUACGGGGGGCAGCAGUGGGGAAUAUUGCACAAUGGGGGAAACCCUGAUGCAGCGACGCCGCGUGAGUGAAGAAGUAUUUCGGUAUGUAAAGCUCUGUCAGCAGGGAAGAAAAUGACGGUACCUGAAUAAGAAGCCCCGGCUAACUACGUGCCAGCAGCCGCGGUAAUACGUAGGGGGCAAGCGUUAUCCGGAUUUACUGGGUGUAAAGGGGGCGUAGACGGCAGAACAAGUCUGGAGUGAAAGGCCGGGGCUGAACCCCGGAACUGCUUUUGAAACUGCGUAGCUAGAGUGCAGGAGAGGUAAGCGGAAUUCCUGGUGUAGCGGUGAAAUGCGUAGAUAUUAGGAGGAACACCAGUGGCGAAGGCGGCUUACUGGACUGUAACUGACGUUGAGGCCCGAAAGCGUGGGGAGCAAACAGGAUUAGAUACCCGGGUAGUC
This 440-nucleotide ribosomal RNA is filed under the name uncultured bacterium. Its description in RNAcentral is "partial 16S ribosomal RNA". It matches the Rfam family "Bacterial small subunit ribosomal RNA", at positions 338 to 795 of the family's 1533-position model. The record is from RNAcentral.